UAGUCCACGCCGUAAACGAUGUCAACUAGCCGUUGGGAAUUUUACAUUCUUAGUGGCGUAGCUAACGCACUAAGUUGACCGCCUGGGGAGUACGGACGCAAGUUUAAAACUCAAAUGAAUUGACGGGGGCCCGCACAAGCGGUGGAGCAUGUGGUUUAAUUCGAUGCAACGCGAAGAACCUUACCAAUCCUUGACAUCCAGAGAAUUUACUAGAGAUAGUUUAGUGCCUUCGGGAACUCUGAGACAGGUGCUGCAUGGCUGUCGUCAGCUCGUGUUGUGAGAUGUUCGGUUAAGUCCGGCAACGAGCGCAACCCACAUCUUUAGUUGCCAGCAGUUCGGCUGGGCACUCUAAAGAAACUGCCCGUGAUAAGCGGGAGGAAGGUGUGGAUGACGUCAAGUCCUCAUGGCCCUUACGGGUUGGGCUACACACGUGCUACAAUGGCCGUGACAAAGAGUUGCUACUUUGUGAAAACAAGCUAAUCUCAUAAACGCGGCCUCAGUUCGGAUUGC
RNAcentral lists this ribosomal RNA (510 nucleotides) under uncultured bacterium. RNAcentral describes it as "bacterial SSU rRNA". It matches the Rfam family "Bacterial small subunit ribosomal RNA", at positions 791 to 1301 of the family's 1533-position model. The record is from RNAcentral.